Molecule: ribosomal RNA, 240 nt
Filed under: uncultured bacterium
Lineage: Bacteria
Description: partial 16S ribosomal RNA
Rfam family: Bacterial small subunit ribosomal RNA
Source: RNAcentral
AUACGUAGGUGGCGAGCGUUAUCCGGAAUUAUUGGGCGUAAAGAGCGCGCAGGUGGUUGAUUAAGUCUGAUGUGAAAGCCCACGGCUUAACCGUGGAGGGUCAUUGGAAACUGGUCGACUUGAGUGCAGAAGAGGGAAGUGGAAUUCCAUGUGUAGCGGUGAAAUGCGUAGAUAUAGGAAGGAACACCAGUGGCGAAGGCGACUACCUGGACUGAUACUGACACUGAGGUGCGAAAGCGU